GAAACCUGGUUGAUCCUGCCAGUAGUCAUAUGCUUGUCUCAAAGAUUAAGCCAUGCAUGUCUAAGUAUAAAUGACUUUAUACAGUAAAACUGCGAAUGGCUCAUUAAAUCAGUUAUCAUUUAUUUGAUAAUAACUUACUACUUGGAUAACCGUAGCAAUUCUAGAGCUAAUACAUGCUAAAAGGCGCGACUUUU
RNAcentral lists this ribosomal RNA (194 nucleotides) under uncultured eukaryote. Its description in RNAcentral is "partial 18S ribosomal RNA". It matches the Rfam family "Eukaryotic small subunit ribosomal RNA", at positions 1 to 191 of the family's 1831-position model. The record is from RNAcentral.